AGGAGCUUAUUGUGUCAGCCACAUUAGGGUCUUUGGGUCUUUCUCUCCUGAAAAUGUUAAGAGCUUGAGCGCUUAAUUUUUCAGGGGAGACGGGCUCAAGGAUCUUGAAGUGGUUGCCUGGGGAUGAUAA
Molecule: microRNA precursor, 130 nt
Filed under: Physcomitrium patens
Lineage: Eukaryota; Viridiplantae; Streptophyta; Bryopsida; Funariales; Funariaceae
Description: Physcomitrella patens miR1039 stem-loop (ppt-MIR1039)
Source: miRBase by way of RNAcentral